RNAcentral lists this ribosomal RNA (253 nucleotides) under uncultured bacterium. Its description in RNAcentral is "partial 16S ribosomal RNA". It matches the Rfam family "Bacterial small subunit ribosomal RNA", at positions 524 to 776 of the family's 1533-position model. The record is from RNAcentral.
CCCGUAGGGGGCGAGCGUUGUCCGGAUUUAUUGGGCGUAAAGAGCUCGUAGGCGGUCUGUCGCGUCGGAUGUGAAAACCCAGGGCUCAACCCUGGGCCUGCAUUCGAUACGGGCAGACUAGAGUUCGGUAGGGGAGACUGGAAUUCCUGGUGUAGCGGUGAAAUGCGCAGAUAUCAGGAGGAACAUCGGUGGCGAAGGCGGGUCUCUGGGCCGAAACUGACGCUGAGGAGCGAAAGCGUGGGGAGCAAACAGG